UACGUAGGGUGCGAGCGUUGUCCGGAAUUACUGGGCGUAAAGAGCUCGUAGGUGGUUUGUCGCGUUGUUCGUGAAAACUCACAGCUUAACUGUGGGCGUGCGGGCGAUACGGGCAGACUGGAGUACUGCAGGGGAGACUGGAAUUCCUGGUGUAGCGGUGGAAUGCGCAGAUAUCAGGAGGAACACCGGUGGCGAAGGCGGGUCUCUGGGCCGAUACUGACACUGAGGAGCGAAAGCGUGGGGAGCGAACAGG
RNAcentral lists this ribosomal RNA (253 nucleotides) under uncultured bacterium. Its description in RNAcentral is "partial 16S ribosomal RNA". It matches the Rfam family "Bacterial small subunit ribosomal RNA", at positions 524 to 776 of the family's 1533-position model. The record is from RNAcentral.